GUCCAGACUCCUACGGGAGGCAGCAGUGGGGAAUAUUGCACAAUGGGGGAAACCCUGAUGCAGCAACGCCGCGUGGGUGAAGGAGCGUUUCGGCGCGUAAAGCCCUGUCAGCGGGGAAGAAGAAAGACGGUACCCGACCAAGAAGCCCCGGCUAACUACGUGCCAGCAGCCGCGGUAAUACGUAGGUGGCAAGCGUUAUCCGGAUUUACUGGGUGUAAAGGGCGUGUAGGCGGGACUGCAAGUCAGAUGUGAAAAUUAUGGGCUCAACCCAUAACCUGCAUUUGAAACUGUAGUUCUUGAGUGAUGGAGAGGCAGGCGGAAUUCCGUGUGUAGCGGUGAAAUGCGUAGAUAUACGGAGGAACACCAGUGGCGAAGGCGGCCUGCUGGACAUUAACUGACGCUGAGGCGCGAAAGCGUGGGGAGCAAACAGGAUUAGAUACCCCUGUAA
Molecule: ribosomal RNA, 448 nt
Filed under: uncultured bacterium
Lineage: Bacteria
Description: bacterial SSU rRNA
Rfam family: Bacterial small subunit ribosomal RNA
Source: RNAcentral